UAUUAGUAUAAGUUAAACUAGUUUAACACAGUAAUAAGUUGGAACUGUUAUGAAUGACAAAAUGUAACAACUUCUUUCCUUUUUGUAAAUGCCACCCUUUUGUAACAGUUUCUCUCUUGGUGUACCUGCUCCAUCUGUUAAGUUAUGAUGUUUUACAAUUCUCUACGUGGUAUAUUCGUUGCAUUAUUCACUCGUACCUUCUUGCAACGUACCAAGUAUUUUAUCAUAACGAUGCUAGAAAUUACAGCAAUAAUUUCACAUAGGACACAUAAAAUAAAUGAGUAGCCUAGUUUAGCCAAUCUUCCAAGUCCUGCAUGUACAUAGAAAA
Molecule: long non-coding RNA, 328 nt
Filed under: Mytilus galloprovincialis (Mediterranean mussel)
Lineage: Eukaryota; Metazoa; Mollusca; Bivalvia; Mytilida; Mytilidae
Source: RNAcentral